GGGGCCGUAGUUCAGCGGGAGAAUGCUGGCUCGGCAUGUCGGCGACGAGGGUUCGAAUCCCUCCGGCUCCA
RNAcentral lists this transfer RNA (71 nucleotides) under Kofleriaceae bacterium. RNAcentral describes it as "tRNA-Ala". It matches the Rfam family "tRNA". Rfam says of the family: Transfer RNA (tRNA) molecules are approximately 80 nucleotides in length. Their secondary structure includes four short double-helical elements and three loops (D, anti-codon, and T loops). The record is from RNAcentral. Lineage: Bacteria; Pseudomonadati; Myxococcota; Haliangiales; Kofleriaceae.